This 464-nucleotide ribosomal RNA is filed under the name uncultured bacterium. Its description in RNAcentral is "partial 16S ribosomal RNA". It matches the Rfam family "Bacterial small subunit ribosomal RNA", at positions 28 to 506 of the family's 1533-position model. The record is from RNAcentral.
GACGAACGCUGGCGGCGUGCUUAACACAUGCAAGUCGAACGGAAAGGCCCUGCUUGCAGGGUACUCGAGUGGCGAACGGGUGAGUAACACGUGGGUGAUCUGCCCUGCACUUCGGGAUAAGCCUGGGAAACUGGGUCUAAUACCGGAUAGGAGCCAUUUUUAGUGUGAUGGUUGGAAAGUUUUUUCGGUGUAGGAUGAGCUCGCGGCCUAUCAGCUUGUUGGUGGGGUAAUGGCCUACCAAGGCGGCGACGGGUAGCCGGCCUGAGAGGGUGGACGGCCACAUUGGGACUGAGAUACGGCCCAGACUCCUACGGGAGGCAGCAGUGGGGAAUAUUGCACAAUGGGCGCAAGCCUGAUGCAGCGACGCCGCGUGGGGGAUGACGGCCUUCGGGUUGUAAACUCCUUUCGCUAGGGACGAAGCUUUUUGUGACGGUACCUAGAUAAGAAGCACCGGUUAACUACGU